GGGCGUGUGGCAAAACGCUUGACUACAAAUCAAGAGAUUCCAGGUUCGACCCCUGGCACGCUCG
Molecule: non-coding RNA, 64 nt
Organism: Zopfochytrium polystomum
Lineage: Eukaryota; Fungi; Chytridiomycota; Chytridiomycetes; Chytridiales; Chytridiaceae
Source: the annotation of a GenBank genome assembly